AGGGCUAUAGCUCAGUUCGGUAGAGCAACUCGUUUACAACCGAGAAGGUCUACGGUUCGAAUCCGUAUAGCCCUA
Molecule: transfer RNA, 75 nt
Filed under: Lolium arundinaceum
Lineage: Eukaryota; Viridiplantae; Streptophyta; Magnoliopsida; Poales; Poaceae
Also listed under: 44 other names
Description: tRNA-Val
Rfam family: tRNA
About the family: Transfer RNA (tRNA) molecules are approximately 80 nucleotides in length. Their secondary structure includes four short double-helical elements and three loops (D, anti-codon, and T loops).
Source: RNAcentral